This is a long non-coding RNA of Triticum urartu, 3556 nucleotides long. RefSeq lists it as uncharacterized. The record is from RefSeq and is a predicted model, not a curated record. NCBI's taxonomy places the organism in Eukaryota, Viridiplantae, Streptophyta, Magnoliopsida, Poales, Poaceae.
CAGGCACACGCCACACGGACACGGGCAUCUCCCCAAUACCUACGACCCCAACUCCCUCCAGCGCCGCCGCCACCGCCCCCCUCUUCUGCAACCACCACGCCGUCCGCGCCGCCCUAAAGCACGCUGCUCCUUUCCCUUCCCAAGCCGCCCUGGAUCUGGCGAUGGAGGUGGCCGCCGUCGUGGCCAUGGAGGUCUCGCCAGCCGCCUUCGAAGUCCUACAUCCCCGAUAUCGACGGGAUUGCAGCCGCCUGGCCAAGGUCGUCGGCCCUCGACGAGCUCCUCCAUAACUUCUGGUUCCCCACAGUGCCUACGGGCCGCCUCUCCCUCUCCAUCCUACGCUCCUCCUUCUCCACUUCAGAUUUCGGCUGAAGAUCGCCUCUCCCUAUUCCCCUUCCAGUCUGGAGCACAGGCGGAGAGCCUGGUUGUGUGCGGCGGAGAUGGCGCCCCGCCUCUGCGCCUCAUAAGGCUGGACGUAGCUCCGCCGAGGCCAUGACCUCUCCUGGUAUCGAUCUAAUACAGGUCACCAACCCAUUGGAACCUCUCCCUGUCUCUUUCUUCUCCAUCUUCCUCAUAUGGAGUACUAUCCAAUGGAACCUUAGUUUUUGUAUAGUUAGCUAGCAGAGACUCAAUAGUAGCAUUUUUUGCCUGUACAUCAUAGCCAUGCCCUGGAGAGACGCAAAUUAGUGCAGUUAACAAGAAGCAAUUGACGAAGAUCUUACGAGAUGGCUUGCAAAUCCAGAUAUCAAACAUAAUUUUGGUAAUAUAUAUUAUGUAUGCAAUAGUUUGAAGGGAUGCUUACCAGGUAUGUACCACUGAAAAUCUAGGUCCAGUAACUAUCCAGUUGCAAAUUCACUGCAAGUUUGUGUAACAAAUAUAUAUACAUCAACUAGGAUUUAGGUUUAACCGUUUAAGUCUGUGGUACAAUUGAAAGACUAGGGAGAAGAGGGUGGAUUGUACUACCUGAUCGCUUGCUGUACAUCUGAAAGAGAUUCAGUUCGUCUGAAUAUUCUGAUUUUGCGACAUGGUCGCCAGUGAAUAGCGCCUUUAGCAGUUUGGUCAACAAGUAGACCGAGCCCAACAUAAAAUGGUUUCAUUUUCAUGAGUGAAUCUUACCUUAGAUGUUUAGGAGAAGAUCAGUAUGGCACCACAUAACUAUUGGUAAAAUGAUCGUUAAUUAAUGACAUCAUUACCAUCCAGCCAUCUUGUCUUUCCAAAGAACAACAUACGAGCUUCGUUCUCUGAAGUUUAAGAAUAAUACAGCCAUCUUGCCUUUCGAAAGAAUAACAAAGAUAAAUAUAGAACCGUGUAAGUCUGAACAUACAUGUGGGUCAAAAAGAUGUGGUGUGCUCCACCGAGAUUCUCAAUCUUGUCCACCAGUAUCGGCUUAUACCUUGGACUAAAAUAUUAAGAGGUUAUCAUAACAACUAUAGCGAAUAUAAUCACUGUUUUCAGAUCAAAUAAGGAAUCGAUCUCAUGAUGGUUGAUGCUUGAUGCAGCGGAGGAUCACAGGUGUACUGCCUGCAGUUUCAAUUUAACCGGGCAGUUGCCAUCAUCGUGAGACUUGCCAACUUGAGGAACUACAACGAUUCUUUGUUCCAGCCAUAUCCAAUCCACCGGGCCGGAGCUUUCACGUCACCUACAACGCACGGUGCUCGCGGCGCGCCGUUGGCGCCAGCCUCGUUGCCGCACUCCCGGAACCCCUCAAGCAGCUCAUGCUCGUUCGGUCAUGCAGGACGGCGCUGUAGCACUAUCGUUGGAUGUGAAUCGCUUCAAAACCGGAAGCAGCGUGCGCGCUGAUGUGGCGUGUUUCCUCCUUUGCUACACUCUGAUUGACUGAUGGUUAGAUGGUUGAUGUCGCAGUCUGAUGAGGCCUAGCGGGUGUGGCUUCUGCUGAAAUUUUUUACACCAGCAGCUCCUGGAGGGGAGGCGGGACAGCCGGCAGCGGCGCCAUUCUGUUUGGGGAUGCUUGGAUCUGGUGAUGCUGGAGCAUGGGAACGGGAAACAUCACCUCAGCUAUGGAAUUUCAAAUAGACAAUUUACCUUUCUCUCUAAAGAUUUCUUACACUGCUGUCAGUAUCAUUGCUCUUGGGGUCUAGUUUUUGUCAAUAUCAAAAUCUGGGUACUUACCAGCAAACGAGUUGUUGAUCUAUUUACUUAGUCAAGUUCAUUUCUGCUAUGUUCUUCAGUCAAGCUUUAGAUUCUAGCCUUGAUUAAAUAGGAAUGAUGUUGUCCAAAACCUGCUAAUGUCAGAAAUCCUACUGCCCAGCAGGAUUUCUAGAAUUCUGGUGCAUCUAGUUUCUAUAACAUGGUUUGACAACCGCGGUGAGCACUGCUCAGUGUGGCAGCUUUUCAUUAGGAUUGGAAACAAGAUUUGAGAUAUAGGUGUAGGUCAAAUUUUGCAAAAAUUAUGUGUCUGCAGGUACAAAGUUACAUGUAGGAAAUUUUACAAUUUUCUGAGAGUAAAAAUUCAAGCAUGAAUUUGAAUAUAGUUCCAUGAUUUUUUUGCUGACAAGUUUUCUUAUAUUUACUUCUCUUUCUAUGGUAUAGGAAUUUAUAUGCCUACUUAACUGUUCAAAGAUAUCCGUUUUGUUUGUCGAUUCGAAGUUACCACAUAUAAGCUUGAGUCCAUGUGAACUGACACACAGUUUGGAACAAAAUAAAACUUAGUACUGUAGUACAGUUUGGUGGUUAAACUACUCCUUACCUCAACAUUCUAAUAAUUUGUAUAAUGAUAGUUGGCAUUGGUCAUGCAAGACCGCUUGCAUGAAAUUAGUGGCUUGCUGCUGUUGUACUCUUCAAAAAUUCUGUUGCUUCAGUUUAUUUUACAUUUUUUAAUUUACUGUUUUUUGCGAAACAAAAGUACUAGAGAAUAUUAUUCUACAUUAUUUUCAACCGCUACAUUUUAUCUGUUUGCGGUAUGACUGUAUGGUUCUCAAUCGAAGAAGAGGCCCAACAGUCUCUUUCGGGACUUUUUAUCACCACAUAUAUAAUCUUAUUGAACUAGGAGUCGAGAACUACAAUUCCCCAAAAGAUCAUAAAUGCUUGAUGUGUGUGAACAUAUUGCAGGGAGGCGGUUCCAAUGAUGGCUCGGUUCCUGCACAGCUUCACCGAGAGGCAUAUGUUGUAUGAGAUGUUGUAUUCUCACUUCUCAGACUGUCUGUAUUCUGAUUUGCUCGCUAGGUGCUUGAUAAAAUGCCCAUCCGAGCAAACAAUUUGUUCUGUGCUACCUGAGAGAUGCAAGUUGGAUGUGGAGGACAAUCAUGUACAGCCCUUAGGUUCUAUGGUUAAUCUGCUUAACCUGGGAGGUGCUCAUCAAGUUUGAGAUGGCAAGUGUAGGUGCUAUGUACUGUUUUCAAUGAACCAAUAAAAUGCAUUGGCUAUUUUCUACUCAGAUUUGUUGGUUAUUUCUAAUGAAACAUGAAAAUACUUCUGAAAGGAUUAUAGUUUCGACUUGAGAUUUUAGUUGUUUAUGUAGACAGUAAAACUCUAGCUGUUAUUUGCUAGAUGGGUCGGUACCAACCCAACAUUGAACAAAGAAGUUAAGGAAUUGAGGUGA